Molecule: long non-coding RNA, 246 nt
Filed under: Lathyrus oleraceus (garden pea)
Lineage: Eukaryota; Viridiplantae; Streptophyta; Magnoliopsida; Fabales; Fabaceae
Description: Pisum sativum (pea) long non-coding RNA (PSAT_LNC026812)
Source: RNAcentral
UUUUUUCUUGUAGAAUUCACUUAUCUUUAUGUUUUUUUUUUCUGAUCCUUAUUCUAUAUACAAUUGUACUUAAGAUAGUGAAUAUUUGUCACCAGCAAGAUGUUGUCGGGUAGGAUGUCCUCAAGACCCUCAUCUUUCAUAUCUUUCACCUAUCAUGGAAGAUGUCCUCAAUAACUAUCAAAGGCCUAGGACACUCUCUCACUAUUUUCUUUAUGGCCCUACAAUCUAACAUAAGUUGGGAAAAAC